Molecule: small nuclear RNA, 23 nt
Filed under: Arabidopsis thaliana (thale cress)
Lineage: Eukaryota; Viridiplantae; Streptophyta; Magnoliopsida; Brassicales; Brassicaceae
Description: snRNA_07383
Source: RNAcentral
AAACCAAGGGAUUAGGUGCAAAG